GAUGAACGCUGGCGGCGUGCUUAACACAUGCAAGUCGAACGAAGCACUUUAUUUGAUUUCCUUCGGGACUGAUUAUUUUGUGACUGAGUGGCGGACGGGUGAGUAACGCGUGGGUAACCUGCCUUGUACAGGGGGAUAACAGUUGGAAACGGCUGCUAAUACCGCAUAAGCGCACAGCAUCGCAUGAUGCAGUGCGAAAAACUCCGGUGGUAUAAGAUGGACCCGCGUUGGAUUAGCUAGUUGGUGAGGUAACGGCCCACCAAGGCGACGAUCCAUAGCCGACCUGAGAGGGUGACCGGCCACAUUGGGACUGAGACACGGCCGAAACUCCUACGGGAGGCAGCAGUGGGGAAUAUUGCACAAUGGGCGAAAGCAUGAUGGAGCGACGCCGCGUGAGCGAAGAAGUAUUUCGGGAUGUAAAGCUCUAGCAGCAGGGAAGAUAAUGACGGUACCUAACUAAGAAGCACCGGCUAAAUACGUG
Molecule: ribosomal RNA, 481 nt
Filed under: uncultured bacterium
Lineage: Bacteria
Description: partial 16S ribosomal RNA
Rfam family: Bacterial small subunit ribosomal RNA
Source: RNAcentral